Taeniopygia guttata (zebra finch) is the source of this 637-nucleotide non-coding RNA. The record is from RefSeq and is a predicted model, not a curated record. NCBI's taxonomy places the organism in Eukaryota, Metazoa, Chordata, Aves, Passeriformes, Estrildidae.
UAAAUUGUGGAUUAGCUGGAAAGUCAUCUUCCCACUUGCUGGAGAUCCAGCUUGAAAAGUAUUUUCAUUCUGAAACAAAAGGAAAAACUAAAUUCUGAAUGUCUGGAGUAGGACUUCAAGAGCCUAGUUUAUCAAGGUCGAAUGACACCUCAUUUCAACUGUCUCCAGGGUUCAGAAGCCACCCCAAGGUACCUGGAGACCUGACAAGCAAGGCAGGCAAAGUGCCAGGAAACUCACAGAGCCUGGGAGUCUUAACUUCAAAGCAAACAGCCUUCGCCAUGUACCACAAAACCCAGGCUUACCCGAGAAGCAGAAAUCCAGAAGCCUGAACUUUGAGCUUUUGAUCACCUCUGGACAUGGACAGGAGUCUAUUGGAAACACGUGGCCAGUCCCAGGGCUCUGCUGUACCAAGCACCAGAGAAGAGAGCAACCUGACAGCAAAUCUCUGCUCUGCACAAUUUACUGAGCAGAUGUUGGACAGAAUAAAAACAACCCAGACAACAGGAGAAGUUUCCUGAAGCUGAACCUCACCAUGCCAUUUUAUUUAUGUGUUUCCACACCCUCACUGCUCUGAAAACAGAGAUUCACAACUCCUGUAUGAAUGUGCACAUUAAGACUCAAUAAAUGGCAAAUAACA